RNAcentral lists this long non-coding RNA (717 nucleotides) under Anser brachyrhynchus (Pink-footed goose). RNAcentral describes it as "lncRNA (ENSABRG00000001419.1)". Lineage: Eukaryota; Metazoa; Chordata; Aves; Anseriformes; Anatidae. The record is from RNAcentral.
CACGGGCUGACAUCCCCGGGUAGCAAAGGGAAUGCUCCGCUUUCCUGGGGGCUGCAGGGUGGGAGGGAUGUGCAUGUGCCCGACUGGUGCUGACCCCUAGCCAGGGCAUUUUGGGGUUAUUUUUCCCCAGAGCUUCCAGCGCCGGGCAAUGAUUUGCCCCUCAUCAGCCCCUUUAAGGGCGAAGAUGCCAGCGGGAGAACUACAGCUGUAGAUCUGAGUGCUGCCGCCAGGAGACAACAGCCUGCCCAGGGUGCCGGUGGGAUCUGGGGAGAGGGAAGCAGUAGAUCUGCUGCCUGGUCCAGCGCACACCAGGCUGUCCUUUCUGGAGAUAGCUCUUCCUGUGAAAAGACUUUUCUGCCUGCGAAAAGGGCAGUGGAGUGAGAGGAGAGUGACCUGGCAUGAGGAAGGCUGGGAGAAGAUUCACAGCUCCUCUCUGCUCUGCAUGGGGAACAUGCGGUAACCUUCUUCUUCAGACAUGUUUUCUGGCUAUCACUAUUUAAAAAAAAAAAAAAAAAAAUUCUUUCCUGAACAAAGCUCACAUUAUGGCAAGGACAGGCAUGUUUAGUGACACAGCUGGCACGGGCAGGCUCAGCGUGACCAGCACACAUCCUGGUCUCCCAACUGCUUCGUCCUGUGAGUGCCAGCUUCGGCCCAGAGGAAAGCUCCCCUUUGGCUCUUGAGCUCCAUGCUCAACCCUAAUUUGUAAAGGGAAAACAA